RNAcentral lists this ribosomal RNA (252 nucleotides) under uncultured bacterium. Its description in RNAcentral is "partial 16S ribosomal RNA". It matches the Rfam family "Bacterial small subunit ribosomal RNA", at positions 524 to 776 of the family's 1533-position model. The record is from RNAcentral.
UACGGGGGGGGCAAGCGUUGUUCGGAAUUACUGGGCGUAAGGGCGCGUAGGCGGCCUUCUAAGUCAGACGUGAAAUCCCUCGGCUCAACCGAGGAACUGCGUCUGAUACUGGAAGGCUUGAAUCCGGGAGAGGGAUGUGGAAUUCCAGGUGUAGCGGUGAAAUGCGUAGAUAUCUGGAGGAACACCGGUGGCGAAGGCGGCAUCCUGGACCGGUAUUGACGCUGAGGCGCGAAAGCUAGGGGAGCAAACGGG